CCUACGUGUGGCUGCAGUGGGGAAUAUUGGGCAAUGGGCGCAAGCCUGACCCAGCAACGCCGCGUGAAGGAAGAAGGCUUUCGGGUUGUAAACUUCUUUUGUCAGGGAAGAGUGGAAGACGGUACCUGACGAAUAAGCCACGGCUAACUACGUGCCAGCAGCCGCGGUAAUACGUAGGUGGCAAGCGUUGUCCGGAUGGACGGGGUGGAAAGGGCGUGUAGCCGGGGUGACAAGUCAGAUGUGAAAGCCUGCGGCUUAACCGCAGAACUGCAUUUGAAACUGUUGAUCUUGAGUACUGGAGAGGCAGACGGAAUUCCUAGUGUAGCGGUGAAAUGCGUAGAUAUUAGGAGGAACACCAGAGGCGAAGGCGGGCUGCUGGACAGCAACUGACGGUGAGGCGCGAAAGCGUGGGGAGCAAACAGGAUUAGAUACCCCAGUAGUC
RNAcentral lists this ribosomal RNA (442 nucleotides) under uncultured bacterium. Its description in RNAcentral is "partial 16S ribosomal RNA". It matches the Rfam family "Bacterial small subunit ribosomal RNA", at positions 338 to 795 of the family's 1533-position model. The record is from RNAcentral.